CCGGGCAUGGUGGCUCACGCUUGUAAUCCCAGCACUUUGGGAGGCCCAGGCACUUCAAAUGAUAAUGAUGCUCUAAUUUGCAUGCAUUGUUGGAGGAGUCAUCCAGUUGCUGGCUUGAUCCCUGCUAAAAGAGCAUACCAGCUGCAAAUUGACAGAAGAAUCUGAUACACGUGAAGAUGGGGACUUGGAGGCUUUAUCUGGAGCUGCAGCUACCAGGAGCCCCCUUCUGGUCUUCUCCAAGAACUGCACCUUGGCUUCAUGGCCUUACCUUGGCACCUGGAACAUGGACUCCUUCAGUAUCUUCCAGUACCUGGAUCCACAGUGACACAGGAUGUUCGUGGUGGACAGCGAGUGUCAGACGUAGGGAUCAAAGACACACCUCCAGACCUCACUCCAUACUGGCCACCCCGACAGGAGCCUUGGAUGAGGCUGCUCAUGGCUGUAGAUGACACACCAAGGAACUAGAGCUUUUCAGAUGCCACCUGGCCACUCCUGUUCUCGGCCAUAGCAGUGUUACUUGGUACUGUC
RNAcentral lists this long non-coding RNA (528 nucleotides) under Homo sapiens (human). RNAcentral describes it as "HSALNT0395913". Lineage: Eukaryota; Metazoa; Chordata; Mammalia; Primates; Hominidae. The record is from RNAcentral.